GCCGGAGUGGCGGAACUGGCAGACGCACAGGACUUAAAAUCCUGGGGUUUGAAUAAAACCGUGCCGGUUCGAGUCCGGCCUCCGGCA
RNAcentral lists this transfer RNA (87 nucleotides) under Caldicoprobacter faecalis. Its description in RNAcentral is "Acetomicrobium faecale tRNA". It matches the Rfam family "tRNA". Rfam says of the family: Transfer RNA (tRNA) molecules are approximately 80 nucleotides in length. Their secondary structure includes four short double-helical elements and three loops (D, anti-codon, and T loops). Further hydrogen bonds mediate the characteristic L-shaped molecular structure. tRNAs have two regions of fundamental functional importance: the anti-codon, which is responsible for specific mRNA codon recognition, and the 3' end, to which the tRNAs corresponding amino acid is attached (by aminoacyl-tRNA synthetases). tRNAs cope with the degeneracy of the genetic code in two manners: having more than one tRNA (with a specific anti-codon) for a particular amino acid; and 'wobble' base-pairing, i.e. permitting non-standard base-pairing at the 3rd anti-codon position. Lineage: Bacteria; Bacillati; Bacillota; Clostridia; Caldicoprobacterales; Caldicoprobacteraceae. The record is from Rfam by way of RNAcentral.